GGGUUGUGAGGUUAAGCGACUAAGCGUACACGGUGGAUGCCCUGGCAGUCAGAGGCGAUGAAGGACGUGCUAAUCUGCGAUAAGCGUCGGUAAGGUGAUAUGAACCGUUAUAACCGGCGAUUUCCGAAUGGGGAAACCCAGUGUGUUUCGACACACUAUCAUUAACUGAAUCCAUAGGUUAAUGAGGCGAACCGGGGGAACUGAAACAUCUAAGUACCCCGAGGAAAAGAAAUCAACCGAGAUUCCCCCAGUAGCGGCGAGCGAACGGGGAGGAGCCCAGAGCCUGAAUCAGUGUGUGUGUUAGUGGAAGCGUCUGGAAAGGCGCGCGAUACAGGGUGACAGCCCCGUACACAAAAAUGCACAUGCUGUGAGCUCGAUGAGUAGGGCGGGACACGUGGUAUCCUGUCUGAAUAUGGGGGGACCAUCCUCCAAGGCUAAAUACUCCUGACUGACCGAUAGUGAACCAGUACCGUGAGGGAAAGGCGAAAAGAACCCCGGCGAGGGGAGUGAAAAAGAACCUGAAACCGUGUACGUACAAGCAGUGGGAGCCUCUUUUAUGGGGUGACUGCGUACCUUUUGUAUAAUGGGUCAGCGACUUAUAUUCUGUAGCAAGGUUAACCGAAUAGGGGAGCCGAAGGGAAACCGAGUCUUAACUGGGCGUUAAGUUGCAGGGUAUAGACCCGAAACCCGGUGAUCUAGCCAUGGGCAGGUUGAAGGUUGGGUAACACUAACUGGAGGACCGAACCGACUAAUGUUGAAAAAUUAGCGGAUGACUUGUGGCUGGGGGUGAAAGGCCAAUCAAACCGGGAGAUAGCUGGUUCUCCCCGAAAGCUAUUUAGGUAGCGCCUCGUGAAUUCAUCUCCGGGGGUAGAGCACUGUUUCGGCAAGGGGGUCAUCCCGACUUACCAACCCGAUGCAAACUGCGAAUACCGGAGAAUGUUAUCACGGGAGACACACGGCGGGUGCUAACGUCCGUCGUGAAGAGGGAAACAACCCAGACCGCCAGCUAAGGUCCCAAAGUCAUGGUUAAGUGGGAAACGAUGUGGGAAGGCCCAGACAGCCAGGAUGUUGGCUUAGAAGCAGCCAUCAUUUAAAGAAAGCGUAAUAGCUCACUGGUCGAGUCGGCCUGCGCGGAAGAUGUAACGGGGCUAAACCAUGCACCGAAGCUGCGGCAGCGACACUGUGUGUUGUUGGGUAGGGGAGCGUUCUGUAAGCCUGUGAAGGUGUACUGUGAGGUAUGCUGGAGGUAUCAGAAGUGCGAAUGCUGACAUAAGUAACGAUAAAGCGGGUGAAAAGCCCGCUCGCCGGAAGACCAAGGGUUCCUGUCCAACGUUAAUCGGGGCAGGGUGAGUCGACCCCUAAGGCGAGGCCGAAAGGCGUAGUCGAUGGGAAACAGGUUAAUAUUCCUGUACUUGGUGUUACUGCGAAGGGGGGACGGAGAAGGCUAUGUUGGCCGGGCGACGGUUGUCCCGGUUUAAGCGUGUAGGCUGGUUUUCCAGGCAAAUCCGGAAAAUCAAGGCUGAGGCGUGAUGACGAGGCACUACGGUGCUGAAGCAACAAAUGCCCUGCUUCCAGGAAAAGCCUCUAAGCAUCAGGUAACAUCAAAUCGUACCCCAAACCGACACAGGUGGUCAGGUAGAGAAUACCAAGGCGCUUGAGAGAACUCGGGUGAAGGAACUAGGCAAAAUGGUGCCGUAACUUCGGGAGAAGGCACGCUGAUAUGUAGGUGAAGUCCCUCGCGGAUGGAGCUGAAAUCAGUCGAAGAUACCAGCUGGCUGCAACUGUUUAUUAAAAACACAGCACUGUGCAAACACGAAAGUGGACGUAUACGGUGUGACGCCUGCCCGGUGCCGGAAGGUUAAUUGAUGGGGUCAGCGCAAGCGAAGCUCUUGAUCGAAGCCCCGGUAAACGGCGGCCGUAACUAUAACGGUCCUAAGGUAGCGAAAUUCCUUGUCGGGUAAGUUCCGACCUGCACGAAUGGCGUAAUGAUGGCCAGGCUGUCUCCACCCGAGACUCAGUGAAAUUGAACUCGCUGUGAAGAUGCAGUGUACCCGCGGCAAGACGGAAAGACCCCGUGAACCUUUACUAUAGCUUGACACUGAACAUUGAGCCUUGAUGUGUAGGAUAGGUGGGAGGCUUAGAAGUGUGGACGCCAGUCUGCAUGGAGCCGACCUUGAAAUACCACCCUUUAAUGUUUGAUGUUCUAACGUGGACCCGUGAUCCGGGUUGCGGACAGUGUCUGGUGGGUAGUUUGACUGGGGCGGUCUCCUCCUAAAGAGUAACGGAGGAGCACGAAGGUUGGCUAAUCCUGGUCGGACAUCAGGAGGUUAGUGCAAUGGCAUAAGCCAGCUUGACUGCGAGCGUGACGGCGCGAGCAGGUGCGAAAGCAGGUCAUAGUGAUCCGGUGGUUCUGAAUGGAAGGGCCAUCGCUCAACGGAUAAAAGGUACUCCGGGGAUAACAGGCUGAUACCGCCCAAGAGUUCAUAUCGACGGCGGUGUUUGGCACCUCGAUGUCGGCUCAUCACAUCCUGGGGCUGAAGUAGGUCCCAAGGGUAUGGCUGUUCGCCAUUUAAAGUGGUACGCGAGCUGGGUUUAGAACGUCGUGAGACAGUUCGGUCCCUAUCUGCCGUGGGCGCUGGAGAACUGAGGGGGGCUGCUCCUAGUACGAGAGGACCGGAGUGGACGCAUCACUGGUGUUCGGGUUGUCAUGCCAAUGGCACUGCCCGGUAGCUAAAUGCGGAAGAGAUAAGUGCUGAAAGCAUCUAAGCACGAAACUUGCCCCGAGAUGAGUUCUCCCUGACUCCUUGAGAGUCCUGAAGGAACGUUGAAGACGACGACGUUGAUAGGCCGGGUGUGUAAGCGCAGCGAUGCGUUGAGCUAACCGGUACUAAUGAACCGUGAGGCUUAACCUUACAACGCCGAAGCUGUU
RNAcentral lists this ribosomal RNA (2929 nucleotides) under Escherichia coli. RNAcentral describes it as "23S ribosomal RNA". It matches the Rfam family "Bacterial large subunit ribosomal RNA". Lineage: Bacteria; Pseudomonadati; Pseudomonadota; Gammaproteobacteria; Enterobacterales; Enterobacteriaceae. The record is from RNAcentral.